AUUUGGGCGGGUGCUAUAAUGCAGUCGAGCGAACAGACAAGGAGCUUGCUCCUUUGACGUUAGCGGCGGACGGGUGAGUAACACGUGGGUAACCUACCUAUAAGACUGGGAUAACUUCGGGAAACCGGAGCUAAUACCGGAUAAUAUUUCGAACCGCAUGGUUCGAUAGUGAAAGAUGGUUUUGCUAUCACUUAUAGAUGGACCCGCGCCGUAUUAGCUAGUUGGUAAGGUAACGGCUUACCAAGGCGACGAUACGUAGCCGACCUGAGAGGGUGAUCGGCCACACUGGAACUGAGACACGGUCCAGACUCCUACGGGAGGCAGCAGUAGGGAAUCUUCCGCAAUGGGCGAAAGCCUGACGGAGCAACGCCGCGUGAGUGAUGAAGGUCUUCGGAUCGUAAAACUCUGUUAUUAGGGAAGAACAUACGUGUAAGUAACUAUGCACGUCUUGACGGUACCUAAUCAGAAAGCCACGGCUAACUACGUGCCAGCAGCCGCGGUAAUACGUAGGUGGCAAGCGUUAUCCGGGAAUUAUUGGGCGUAAAGCGCGCGUAGGCGGUUUUUUAAGUCUGAUGUGAAAGCCCACGGCUCAACCGUGGAGGGUCAUUGGAAACUGGAAAACUUGAGUGCAGAAGAGGAAAGUGGAAUUCCAUGUGUAGCGGUGAAAUGCGCAGAGAUAUGGAGGAACACCAGUGGCGAAGGCGACUUUCUGGUCUGUAACUGACGCUGAUGUGCGAAAGCGUGGGGAUCAAACAGGAUUAGAUACCCUGGUAGUCCACGCCGUAAACGAUGAGUGCUAAGUGUUAGGGGGUUUCCGCCCCUUAGUGCUGCAGCUAACGCAUUAAGCACUCCGCCUGGGGAGUACGACCGCAAGGUUGAAACUCAAAGGAAUUGACGGGGACCCGCACAAGCGGUGGAGCAUGUGGUUUAAUUCGAAGCAACGCGAAGAACCUUACCAAAUCUUGACAUCCUUUGACAACUCUAGAGAUAGAGCCUUCCCCUUCGGGGGACAAAGUGACAGGUGGUGCAUGGUUGUCGUCAGCUCGUGUCGUGAGAUGUUGGGUUAAGUCCCGCAACGAGCGCAACCCUUAAGCUUAGUUGCCAUCAUUAAGUUGGGCACUCUAAGUUGACUGCCGGUGACAAACCGGAGGAAGGUGGGGAUGACGUCAAAUCAUCAUGCCCCUUAUGAUUUGGGCUACACACGUGCUACAAUGGACAAUACAAAGGGCAGCGAAACCGCGAGGUCAAGCAAAUCCCAUAAAGUUGUUCUCAGUUCGGAUUGUAGUCUGCAACUCGACUACAUGAAGCUGGAAUCGCUAGUAAUCGUAGAUCAGCAUGCUACGGUGAAUACGUUCCCGGGUCUUGUACACACCGCCCGUCACACCACGAGAGUUUGUAACACCCGAAGCCGGUGGAGUAACCAUUUGGAGCUAGCCGUCGAAGGUGAACAAAG
This 1453-nucleotide ribosomal RNA is filed under the name Staphylococcus haemolyticus. RNAcentral describes it as "bacterial SSU rRNA". It matches the Rfam family "Bacterial small subunit ribosomal RNA". The record is from RNAcentral. Lineage: Bacteria; Bacillati; Bacillota; Bacilli; Caryophanales; Staphylococcaceae.